Molecule: long non-coding RNA, 1402 nt
Organism: Zophobas morio
Lineage: Eukaryota; Metazoa; Arthropoda; Insecta; Coleoptera; Tenebrionidae
Exons: 2
Source: RefSeq, a predicted model, not a curated record
UCGACGUUCAGUUUUAAAGAAUUUCAAAAAAUGAUUAUUAAAAUACAGCGCGAUCAAUAUAAUACUGUUUAGAUUGGCAAUUCUGGGAAAUUUUGAUCCAAAUGACCGGUGCUAUGUCAUUUUUAAGCCCUCAAGCAACACCUCCUAUAGAUAAGGCCUGUGCACUAGUUUUGUGACGUCAUCAUGAUGGGUCCACAUGAAAAUGUCAACAUUCUCGAAAUUACAAAAAAGCGACAAGUAAUCACCAUUAAUAAUGAAAAUUUAUUUCAGACAUCGUUCGUUAGGCUGCAUUGUACCGUUAAAUGUAUAUUUGCACAAAAAUUUGAUAAAAAAACAGACAUAACCUAGAAUGCCACUUUUAAGAAACAGAUAGUUAUUAAAGAUUUCUUUUAAACAUGGAUUGUUGCCUUAGAUAGUGUUGUUUAAACGGUAAGUAGACUUUUUAGAAAAAAUACAACAUUCCACAUACCAAACUUCUUAACUAUAAACUAUAAAACUAACUAUAAAAAUCGGAGGCUGUUUAAGUUUUUCUUUUCAGCUCGGCCAUUGGGGUCUUAAAAAACUGGUCAUUAUGCUUUUUGCAAUAAUUUUUGAGUAAAAUAUUGCAAAUUGGCCGUAAUAUAAAAUCAACAAUUUUGCCUGGGGAAUGUUUGGAACAUUGAUGACCCAAAAACAAAUUGUUGACUGAUUCGCCUAUGGAUUUUGCUGCUAAAGUUUUUAUUGUAAGGCGUUGAUCAAUUUCGUCUAAAAAAAUUUUUUCCAAGUCUGUAUCUAUGCACUUCAAGACAGUCAAAUAUACAAACGCACAGCAUGUCACCACAUCUGUAGUAGGGUAACACAAGCCCCCUCUGCUACUGGCAGUUAUUACACUGCUUCCAGAAAGGAGAUCAUCAGUUACUAAAAACACCUUACAAUAACUACACUUUAACUUUUUGUUUAUAGCAUAUGAGGCAUAUCCUGCAACAUACACCAAAACUGGCCAUGUAUUGUCAUCAAUAUCGUUUAAAUCAUCAUCGCUCACAAGGCAAUUGGUGAUCAAUGUAACAGAUACAAGCGGAUCUUCAUUGGUAUCCCUAAAAACUUCAUCAGGUGGAUCCUCAGGCGUUAUUUGAAAUUCGCCUUUGUUUUCAGAUUCGAAAACUUGACGAAUAGAAAUUUUGUAUUGCCCCCCUGCCAUUUGCCGAUAUUUUCCAAACCUUUCUUCCAGUUUAUCAGUCUGGAUUUUUCCGCAAAGGAAGAAUGUCAAAUUUUUGUCAGUCAGGCAAUAAUUGGAUAAUUUAAUUAAUCCAUCAGUGGUGGUUUCUAGCGCCCACUGUGUCUCAGGUGUUAAUUUUGCUGAAGUGUUCAUUUUUUUCCAUCUCUGCAACCAUUCUAGAAAUUGUUGUAAAUAUUCUAAAAUGUG